GUAAAAACAAACAGAAAACCUUGAGAUUGAUCCUCAAGAAAGCCUGUUUCAAAAGCCAGUUUAUGUCAAUAUAGCACUUGGUUGGCCUUGUGAUCAUUUCUUCUUUUGCCUUGAAAAAAACAGCUUUCUGCCAGGCCCCACAGUGCACAAGAGCAGCUGCAGGAGGUCAAAGUUACAGAGAGUGAACUGUGUGCCUUUGGGAGCCCCACCCCCUGCCCUGCCGCCCAAUCAGAGACCUUCUGUCAGGAGAAGAGCCAGUCAUCCACACUUCCGCAUUUCAACAGGAUGUCACCUCUGACUGAGCGACUGGGAAUGAGUGGAACUUCCCAGACCGGCAUCGACUUCAUCUCGUUAAAACUCGCAAAGAGAAAUACACAAGAAUUCCCUGCCAAAAGGAACAGGUGUCUGUUUGUGCAUGCAAUAAUUUUAUUGUCUGAACUGUUUGAAAAACACGGGUUUAUUCAUUUUACCACGCAACAUAUGUUUAUACAAAAUAUACAAAAAGAACUGGAGAUGCCUCCUAGUCUUCCCUCUGAAUGAAUAUUAAUUU
Molecule: long non-coding RNA, 550 nt
Organism: Anguilla anguilla (European eel)
Lineage: Eukaryota; Metazoa; Chordata; Actinopteri; Anguilliformes; Anguillidae
Exons: 3
Source: RefSeq, a predicted model, not a curated record